RNAcentral lists this ribosomal RNA (207 nucleotides) under Triticum aestivum (bread wheat). Its description in RNAcentral is "partial small subunit ribosomal RNA". Lineage: Eukaryota; Viridiplantae; Streptophyta; Magnoliopsida; Poales; Poaceae. The record is from RNAcentral.
UAUCUUCCUCGUGGAGUCAUUCUUACUAAAGAUAAUCUUAUCAAGAGGAAUUGGCAUGGAAAUCCACAAUGUGUUUUUUGUCAUCAUGAUGAGACAAUAAAACAUUUAUUCUUCCAAUGCAAAUUGGCUCAGUCUAUAUGGUCAGUCAUCCAGAUAGCUUCUGGCGUGUAUCCUCCUUGUAGUGUUGCUAAUGUAUUUCGCAAGUGA